Molecule: small RNA, 104 nt
Filed under: Arabidopsis thaliana (thale cress)
Lineage: Eukaryota; Viridiplantae; Streptophyta; Magnoliopsida; Brassicales; Brassicaceae
Description: ATSL296270
Source: RNAcentral
AAAAAUUCAAAUAAUUAAAAUCCAGUAACAGCCAUUAUAAAUAAGUCUAAACUCAAGGAUUUAUUUUACAAAAUGGCUGCAAAAAUGUAUAUGUAGAUUAUUCA